This is a long non-coding RNA of Phasianus colchicus (ring-necked pheasant), 659 nucleotides long. RefSeq lists it as uncharacterized. Lineage: Eukaryota; Metazoa; Chordata; Aves; Galliformes; Phasianidae. The record is from RefSeq and is a predicted model, not a curated record.
AGCAGUAAAGAUUCUGGCUCUGACAUGACUUUGCCAUCUUUGAGAGCAGUCUUACUCCUUUACCUUUUGAUUGAGAUUAAUUCUUUUCUAAAUCCUUGUAGUCUCAAGCAAUAGGGCAGAAAAACGUCUCUUAGCUUUACAUUUUCUUUUUUCAUGUUGUUUGUGCAGGCAUUUUUCUCUGGAUUCCCAGUGUGCUUUCCUCUUCUGUUCUGCAACCCAGAUGCAGUCUUUUGUGUAACUUUAUUUGGUUCCUUCACAACCUCCCGUAAUGAGGGAUCUUGCUGGGACAAUUAGGAACUGGUAUAUUACUGCUUUCAUCAACACAAGCCAGAGGCAGAGGGAACAGGAGGAAGAAGCCUGAUACAAAGAAAAUACUUUGAAACUUGAAGAGGGAGAAGUCCCAGAGGAGAGAGUUUAAUGAGCAAAGUCCAGAGGUGGAUGUAGCUCUCAAGCCUGUCACCUUGGUGUCAUUGUUUCAGAAGUAUUUAGCUCUAUUCUCCAUACAUUCUCAUGCCAUAGAGGGGGACUGAAUACAGUCACAAGGCCAGCUUUGGUUUCUGAAGGGCUGCAGCAUUCAUGGUGUUAUAUGAAUUAAGUUCCAUAAAGCUUCUACGGUAUUAAAAGCAAGAAAAGUAAAGAAAAGCAACAUCAAAACUUCA